GACGAACGCUGGCGGCGUGCUUAACACAUGCAAGUCGAGCGGUAAGGCCCUUUGGGGUACACGAGCGGCGAACGGGUGAGUAACACGUGAGUAAUCUGCCUUUGGCUUGGGAAUAACUUCGGGAAAUCGGGGCUAAUGCCUGAUGUUUACUGUCUGCUGCAUGGUGGGUGGUGGAAAGAUUUUUUGGCCAGGGAUGAGCUCGCGGUCUAUCAGCUUGUUGGUGGGGUAAUGGCUACCAAGGCUUUGACGGGUAGCCGGCCUGAGAGGGUGUUCGGCCACACUGGGGACUGAGACACGGCCCAGACUCCUACGGGAGGCAGCAGUGGGGAAUAUUGCGCAAUGGGCGUAAGCCUGACGCAGCGACGCCGCGUGGGGAUGAAGGCCU
RNAcentral lists this ribosomal RNA (385 nucleotides) under uncultured bacterium. RNAcentral's name for it is "bacterial SSU rRNA". It matches the Rfam family "Bacterial small subunit ribosomal RNA", at positions 28 to 417 of the family's 1533-position model. The record is from RNAcentral.